ACUGAACGCUGGCGGCGUGCUUAACACAUUCAAGUCGAACGAGAACGGGUUAUAGCUUGCUAUAAUUGUCAGCUAAUUGGCGCACGGGUGAGUAAUGUAUAGGUAAUAUGCCUCUUACUAAGGGAUAACAAAUGUAAACGUUUGCUAAUACCUUAUACUCCUUAUUAACAUAACUUAAUAAUGGACAGAUUUAUUGGUAAGAGAUUAGCCUGUAUUGUAUCAGUUAGUUGGUGGGGUAAUGGCUUACCAAGACUAUGACACAUAACUGGUUUGAGAGGAUGAUCAGUCAAACUGGAACUGAGACACGGUCCAGACUCCUACGGGAGGGAGCAGUGGGGAAUAUUGCACAAUGGACGGAAGUCUGAUGCAGCAACGCCGUGUGGAGGAUGACACAUUUCGGUGCGUAAACUCCUUUUAUAUGAGAAGACAAUGACGGUACCACCGAAGGAAGCACCGGCUAACUCCGUGCCAGCCGCCGCGGUAA
This 484-nucleotide ribosomal RNA is filed under the name uncultured bacterium. RNAcentral's name for it is "partial 16S ribosomal RNA". It matches the Rfam family "Bacterial small subunit ribosomal RNA", at positions 30 to 523 of the family's 1533-position model. The record is from RNAcentral.